UCAGAACGGGCGCUGCCCUCCUCCCUUGAAUACCUUCAUCUCUGUAAACUGGAAUCUCUGGACUACAUUGGGCUUCAGCACCUCACCUCUCUUCACAAAUUGAAGAUCGGGAGUUGUCCUAAACUUGAAUCGUUGCAGUGGCUGCCUUCCUCCCUUGAAUUCCUUCAGUUAUGGGAUCAGCAAGACCGGGACUACAAGGAGCUUCGGCACCUCACCUCUCUUCGCAAAAUGCAGAUAAGGAGGAGCCUUAAGCUUGAGUCCUUUCAAGAAGGCACACUUCCCUCCUCCCUUGAAGACCUUGAAAUCUGGGAUUUGGAAGAUCUGGAAUUUAAGGGGUUUCGGCACCUCACCUCUCUUCGUGAAUUACAUAUCUGUAGUUCUCCUAAGCUCGAGUCCGUGCCAGGAGAGAAGCUGCCCUCCUCCCUUGUAUCUCUUCAAAUAUCAGGUCUGAUAAAUCUGAAAUCUGUAAUGGGGCUUCAGCACCUCACCUCUCUUCGCAAAUUGAUUAUCUCGGAUUGUCCUCAGCUCGAGUCCGUGCCAAGAGAAUGGCUGCCCCUUUUCCGAUAUGAUGAUAUUAGACGUUGUCCUAAACUUAAUUUGGUUAUAGGAGACGGUCUCACUAUACCAUUUUCCUAGUUUUGUACCCGCGCUCCGCGGCCGAGCGGUUAUUUCUUUUAAGUAAACAAAAAUUAAUAAAUAGGUUUUACAACGCAUUCUUUAAUAUACAAUAUUUUUCUAUCAUAAAUAGAAAUGUCUAUAUAUAUAUUUAGUAAUUAGAUCAAUAGUUGAUAAAGAGAUAAUUAAGAAUAAAAUAUUUAAUCUUACAAUAUAAAUAAUUAAUAUAUUUAGUUAUGUUUAACAAUUAUAUUUUCUAAAGUUUUUUUUAUAUAUAAAACAAUUAUAUGUGCCAAUAAAAGGUUAAAAAAAAAUCAUAUCCAAUGUAAAAUGAAGAAAAUUAAAAAAAAAAUAUGUCAAACUGUAUAAAUAUGGUAACAUUGUGACAAUAGACACAUGAUUGAGAUAAUUUUAUAUAAAGAAAAAUGAAAUAAAAAGCACAAAUACCAAUUCUAAAAAAGUUAAAUGUUGAAGGAUGAAAUUGAAAAAACACAAGGAUAUUUGAUUUCGCAACAUGGUUCAUGCACUAAGCCGUGUUUAAUAGCUUUGUUUUUUAGAAUAUAUUUUUUAUUUAAUCAAACAAUUAUCUAUGCAAAUAAAAGAUAAAAAAAAAUCACAAAUAAAAGCAAAUUGAAUCAAAUCAUGAAGUCAAUUAUAAAAUAACUCAAUGUUGAAUGAUGAAAUUAAAAAAAUAAUAAUUAAGAAAAACAAAAAAAAUAUGGGUCAACCCUUAUUAAUCCGUUAACAUUGCGACCAUUGGUACAUAAUUGUGAUAAUCCCAUAAAAAAUAUGAAGACCAACUUUUAGAAAAAUUAAAUGUUGAAGGAUGAAAUUAAUAUAUAUAUAUAUAUAUAUAUAUAUAUAUAUAUUAAAAAAUGACUAAAAAAACUACUAGAGUCAACCCAUGUUAACAUUUGAAAUUUGUAAUUGUGAUCUUGAGACCAAGACUACUCACGCAUCAGUCAAACCCAAAAAAACAACAAAGUAAAUUUCUCAAUAAAAAAAUGUUGAGGCAUGAAAAUUUCAAUAAAAAAACAACAUGAAAAAAAUAUGAAUAAACCAGGGUUAACUCGCUAACCUCACGACCAUGGAAACAUGAUCAGGAUAACCCUAAUGAAAAGAAAGUGAUAAAGAAAAGCACAAAGAAUAACACUAAAAAAAAUAAAAGUUGAGGGGUGAAAUUAAAAAAACAAAAAAAACCAAAGUCAACCGUUGUUAACUUUCAAAACUCAUGAUUAUGCUGUUGGGACUGACCAUAUAAAAGGCAAACCCAAAACAAAACAAUAUAGCAAAAUUCUCAGUGAAAAAAAGUUGAGGCUUGAAACUCAGUAAAAAAAAGCAACAAAAAAUAUAUGAGUCAACCCAAGUCACCCAUUUGACUAUGGGCAUGUGAUUUAGAUAAUCUUAUGGAAAGGAAAGCAAAAAAAAAAAAACAAUAAAACCAAUUUUAUAAAAAUUAAAUAUUGAAGAAUAAAAUUAAAAAAAUUAAUUUUAUAAAAAAGACUUGAAGAAACCAAAAUCAACCCGUGCAAACCUUUAAAAGUCAUGAUUCAAUAAUAAUAAAAAAAAAGAAGCUAAGUGAUGAAAUCAUUAAAAAAACAAUAAAAAAAAAUUAUUCAAAACAUAAUAAACAUAAGUAAAAAAAGAAUAGAGAUCAAAUUCAACACUAAAAAAAUAAAAAUCAAAUAAUGAGAAAUAAAAUCAAAACAAUAUCUAAUUAGAUUAAGGAUUAAAAAGUGUCAAAAAAAAGUGUCAAAUUUGAUCUAAAAAUAAAAUAAAGUAAAAUAAUUAGAGAUAAAUAGUAAUAAAUACUAUUUUUAUAAAAUAAAAAGAAAAAAAUAAAAAAAAAAAUAAAAAUCAAAACACAAUAUAUAACAAAAAAAAAGUAAUAUAAAUGUUUAUGUCACAUAACAACCAUUGGUUCCAAACAAAACCUGAAAAUAAAAAAACAAGACACCUGCCGUCAUUAGGUCCGGAUUUGCCUGAAAGGCAGAACUGCACAUGCAUUUUCCAUAGCAUGCCAAAGCCAAAUCAAUCUUACCCAUAGCGAGAAUUAAAACAAAACAAAAUAGUAACAACACCAAAAACAUCCUUUAUUCAUUGUUAAAGGUCUUCUGAAAUAAGAUUGGUUUCAAUGGCAAGUGGAAAUCAUAAAGAGAGCAACGAAAGGACAAAAAUCGAUCAAAAAACCCUUACUGAAAGAAUAAACAACACACCUUCGCCUCGUGUGUUCUCCAUCAAUUUGUUCAAGAGAAAAAGGACAAGAACUGUAGUAUCACCACCUCCAUCCUCUCUCAGUAGCUUCUUCUUCUCCAAUGUGCAUACCUUUUUGGUUCUCACAUGCCUCCUCUCCCUCUUCUGAAUCAUGACUACAAUUGAAGAAAACAACUCUAAUCCCACCUAAGAACAAUGCUCUAAUAUCAAAUUUGAUACGAGACAAAAAAGAUUGAAGUUGAAGAAGAAAGAAAAGAAGAAGAAGCCCGAAAAAGAAGAAAAAGCUGAUCAAAUACUAAAACCAUAACUAGAAUAAAUAAUUAAGUUUAUAAUCCACUAAAUAAAAUACUAAAAAAUAAUUAAAUCAAAUCCAACAAAUAAUAUCUAAUUAAUAAAUUUCAACUAAAAGUUCAAAUAAAUAAAAUUAAAACAUAAGCUAAAGCUUAAUCGCUUAAUGAUUUGGACUACCCUCUAUCAUUUAUGAUUAUAUGAAUACAUGUUUCGAGUCAGUAUCCCCACAUUUUUUUUGUUUUUGGUGGAAACAAAAAGAGGUGCAUAUGUUUUUGUUAGGAAAAAAAUUUCUUGCCCUAAAAUAAGAAAAAAAAGUUGCACCUAGAGGUGAUCAUUUUCGGUUCGGUUCAGUUUUUAUCAAAAAAGUAACCAAAUGUACUACAUACUUUUUACCGAUCGAACCAAAUGUACUAUAUUAUCAGUAGUUGUAGCUACUUCUGAAACAGUUGGUGCGAUGGGUGCGAGUGAAGGUGCUGGCAUAGGAGCGGCAACACUAGUCAUACCUUCCACUACUGCUUUGAGUAGCUGGGCUAGGAGCAUCAAAUCAACAUAAGAAACAAAUGGCCUUCCAAGUGUAGUCUGUGGGGGCUCCUCUGCUCGUUCCGGUAGGGUUGACACGGUCGGCUGAACAUCCCCAGCUUGCCUCGGUACUUGUCUGACUUGAGGCCCCGUCGAUUCUUCAUGCCUUGCUUGCUUCGAUACUGCUGGUGCAUGUCAAGCAGUAUCUUCUAAAAGGCUCUCUUCUCGUCCCUCGUAAAAGUCUAUAUCUCUGUUCCCCUUCCCUAUAGAGGAUAGAUUUGUUCUAAUCUCUUGGCGAGUACGUACCAUCCUGCAAUAAAUUAAUAACAUCAUUACCCUUUGUUUCGAGUUUUUCCCAAAAUCCAUACGAGGGCUCUAAUACCAACUAUAACAAUCCCACCUUUUCAAUUUCGUCAACACUAAAAGAUCCCAAUAUAUACUCUUAAUUUGAGGGUAAAUUGUUUUUUUUCUUAUAUAUAUAUAUAUAUAUAUAUGAAAGUCUACCGAUAUUUUCACUGAAAUUUUGGCAAAGUUCCCUUUGUAUUUAGAACGUCCCAAGUUAUCGACUUCUUUCAAUUUACCCAUUCAAGCCAUCAAAACAAGGUCCCAUAAUUUUGAACUUUAUUUUACAUCAUUAAUACUCAACUCCUCAUACAAUUCAUGCACACAAUUUAUACACACACACACACACACACACACACCCUACGAAUAAGAUCAAUAUAAAUAUAGCCCAUAUAUCGUAUAAUAAAGUCUAGAAGAAAAAGGGAUACUAACAUGUAAUGAGAGAAUUUAAAACAUAACAUCAGUAUUCUUAAAAGUUUCAAAGGGUUAAAAACAAAGUAGCUAAGGAGUUCUUACUCAUACAUUAUAUCAAAGUUUACAUAAUUAACAUACUAUAUGCCGAGCCAAUAGUUUUGUAUACAUCAAGGUUUACACAAAAGCAUAUUGCGUAACCUAGCUAAUACUAUUAUGCUUGAGCUAAAUGUUUUUACAUAAGUUUAGCAAAGCAGAGUCCUAAAAACUAAUGAGCUCCCUGAGUAUUAGAUGGACCUGUUACAAUAACAACUUAAUAAGCAUACAAUUAUAUUGUCAACAGAAACAAAAAUGAUCAUAUAAUGAAUACAAAUAAAGCAUAAGUUUUCUAUUAGUUUCCCAAUAAUUUUAAUAAUCAACUUAUAAAUUCUUUCAUAUAUAUUUAAAAACUCAAUUAGACAUCAUUUACGUAUUCUUAAUUGAAUACUCUUAUUUUCUUGUAUGAACCUAGUACCUUUGCCUAAUUGGUUUUACUAAAUCUUUAACUUUGCAUAGUUCCACUUGGAUAGUUUAGGUAAUUAUACUUAUCAAUUCUCUCAGGUCAUCCAAACAUGGAUACCUUUUCCGAAUCGAGCCUUAUCGAUCAUUCCCAGGCAUCCUGACAUGGACGUCAUUAGCUGAAGCGAAUCUUGUAAUUCACUUCCCAGCAAUCCUAUCACGGAUGCCAUUAGCCUAAGAUAAUCUUGAGAUUCAUUUCCCGACAAUCCUAUUACGAAUGCAAUUAGCCGAAGCUAAUCUUGUAAUUCAUUUCCCGGUAAUCCUAUCAUGGAUGCUAUUAGCCGAAGCUAAUCUUGUUAAUACACCGGACUUUGUUUACAUUAAACAUAACUUAAUUGUCAUUGUCUUCAUCGGGAAGACUUUAAAUUACAUAAGAGUAAAGGAGAGGUAAAACCACGCACCUUCUCCGCCUGUCUCGUGACCUCCUUCAACAAAAGAUCCAAUCCUAGUCGCUCCGCCUAAAUCACAAAGAAGUCUUUGGUCAUGUUUCCUUUAAGCUAAAUGUUUAAGGAAAUCCAUAUUCAUUCAUUAUACAUAUGGUACUUUCCAUGCAUGUUCAUUUCCUCAUCAUAACAUACAUAUACAUAUCAAGUAUAUAUUUUCAAGGUUUUAUAUCAACGUGCAAGUGCCCCUACGACUAAGUUUGUUUUUGCAUCAACGUAAAUUAGUGACUUAUGACUCAUAACUGGAGUCUCAUAACUUUAAAUAAAGCAAACUUUGGUCAAUAAAAAGGUAACACAUUUAUCCAUAAUUUCAUUAAGGAUCAUGCAUGAAACUCUGUCAAUAUCAAAUCACAAACCAAAAAAGAAGUUAGACAGCAAAUUUGUCCAGCAGCUUCUAGCCUAACCUCCUCUCAGUAUUUUGCCUAUAUAUGGAGUUCUAUAACUCCUAAUAAAGUGAACUUUAUACCAAUUAAAAGGUAACACAUUUAUAUAUAACUACAUGGAGGAAAAUGCAUCAUACUCUAUCAAUAUAAAAUCCCAAACCGAACAAGAAGUUAGACAGCAAAUCUGUCCAGCAGCUUCCAGCCUAGCCUCCUCUAAGUAUUUUGCUUAUAUAUGGAGUUCUAUAACUCUAAAUAAAGUGAAAUUUAUGUCAAUUGAAAGGUAACACAUUUAUAAAUAUCCACAUGAAGGAAAAUGCAUGAUACUCUGUCAAUAUCAAAUCCCAAACUAAACAAGAAGUUAGACAGCAAAUCUAUCCAGCAGCUUCCAACCUAACCUUCUCUUAGUAUUUUGCUUGUAUAUGGAGUUUUAUAACUCUAAAUAAAGUGAAAUUUAUGUCAAUUGAAAGGUAAUACAUUUAUAGAUAUCCACAUAAAGGAAAAUGCAUGAUACUCUGUCAAUAUCAAAUCCCAAACUGAACAAGAAGUUAGACAACAAAUCUAUCCAGCAGCUUUCAGCCUAACCUCCACUUAGUAUUUUUCCUGUAUAUAGAGUUCUAUAACUCCAAAUAAAGUGAAAUUUAUGUCAAUUGAAAGGUAACACAUUUAUAGAUAUCCAUAUGAAGGAAAAUGCAUGAUACUCUAUCAAUAUCAAAUCCCAAACUGAACAAGAAGUUAGAUAGAAAAUCUAUCCAGCAGCUUCCAGCCUAACCUCCUUUUAGUAUUUUGCCUGUAUAUGGAGUUCUAUAACUCCAAAUAAAUGAAAUUUAUGUCAAUUGAAAGGUAAGACAUUUAUAGGUAUCCACAUGAAGGAAAAUACAUGAUACCAUGUCAAUAUCAAAUCCCAAACUGAACAAGAAGUUAGACAACAAAUCUAUCCAGUAGCUUCCAGCCUAACCUUGUCUUAGUAUUUUGCCUGUAUAUGGAGUUCUAUAACUCCAAAUAAAGUGAAAUUUAUGUCAAUUGAAAGGUAAUACGUUUAUAGAUAUCCACAUGAAGGAAAAUGCAUGAUACUUUGUCAAUAUCAAAUCCCAAACUGAAUAAAAAGUUAGAUAGAAAAUCUAUCCAGCAGCUUCCAGCCUAACCUCCUCUUAGUAUUUUGCCUGUAUAUGGAGUUCUAUAACUCCAAACAAAGUGAGAUUUAUGUCAAUUGAAAGGUAACACAUUUAUAGAUAUCCACAUGAAGGAAAAUUCAUGAUACUCUGUCAAUAUCAAAUCCCAAACCAAACAAGAAGUUAGACAACAAAUCUGUCCAGCAGCUUAACCUCCUCUCGGUAGUUUGCCUAUAUAUGGAGUUCUAUAAUUCCAAAUGAGGUAAGACCAGUGCCAAAAGUUAGCUAACUCAUUUAUCUACAACUUUCAUAUGUAAUGUUAUAACAAUUUCAAUCGACUUCUAUGCCUAACAUUAGCAUAAUUUCUAUACUUACAUAUUUGUAAUGGAAGUAACAUACAAACAUGUUUAAGUUUCUGUUUCAGCCCUUGAUUUAGCCUUAGGAUAACUAUGUAAGGUCAUAAUUAGCAGAGAUUAGUAUCAAAUUUCUAUUCUCUUUCUUUCUACUUUCAUGGUCGUCCCUAAAGAGGAUUUGUUCCACUAAUUUCUAUCAUUUUCUUUUGUCAUAGAAGCUGAAAAUGUUUAACUUCUCAUCUCAACCUUUUAAUUUCAUCAUUUGUUUUUUUUUUGUCAAAAUCAUGAAGUUCUAGGAACCCUAAAUUAUUUAUAUUGGGGUUUUUUCCCCCUUUGGAUUCAAAACAAAUCAAAUUAACAAUAGAAUAGCAAGGGCUUAUCCUUACCUCACGAUUUUAUCUAAAGAUGGAAGGUGUUUUCUUGAUGGUUUUCUUCUUCUCCUCUUUAUCACUGUUUCAGCCGGCCCUUGUGCCCUCCAAACCUCAAGAUUUUAUGGAUCUACACUUCCUAAUUACUCUCCUCUCUCACGUAGGUUCAUGCAAGGUGUUUUGGGUGAGAAAUGUGUGCAAUAAAAGGGAGCCAAUCUUCUCUCUUCAACUUGUUCUAAUUGAAAGUGAGAGGAAAGGUCAGGAAUUCUUUUUUUUUUUUUAAUGUAUUUAUACUCCCUUAUAUAUGCCUUAGGUCUUGUUUGGUAGUUUGGUCAAAUUUGUUCCUAACAUUACUUUUCUCCUUGUUGUGUGCUUUAGUUCUUCAUUUCACAAUUUGUUUAACAUCUCUCCCUCAUCCUUCCCUUCACACAUUUUAAUCCUUAGACAUUUGUUAGUUUUUAUACCCAUAUUUUUGUAAAAUAUUUGACUUCGUAAUUUAUUUUCUUAUUUUGAAUUCACCCUAUAAGUAUUGAAACAUUUUUAUUUUCUAAAAAUUUCAACUUGGGGUUUACAUAACCUUUAAGAAGAAGUGAAAAGAAAAGGUUGAAGCAGACAUCAUGAUUAUCCAAAAUGCAAUAUUUGAUCCCUGGUCCCAACAACAAAUCCAUAGUUAUCACAAAGAUCUAGUCCAUUUCUUUUGCCUUCCUUCUCUUACUUUUCUAGCUAUUUUUUCCUACUUUCUACUAUCCAUUCUAGAGCUUCAGAUUCUUAUAUUGUACAUAGAAUUUGAGUCUAGUUUUUUAACAGUUCAUAAACCUCGAUCCAUCAUACAAUUUCUCAAGAUGAUGCUGUUAUAAUUUAAAAAAACUAUUUAUAGAAGAUUUAUCUUCAAGGACAAGAGUUGAAUCCUUAAUAGCACAUUUAUACUCCCUACUUUUCAUCUAAAUUUCUUUAACAAGUAAGUCAUAUUUACUUUGUCAUUAUAUUUAUGUCAUCUAGAUUAAUACUAGUUAGAUGGUCUGCGCUAUACCGUGAGCCAACGUUUUAUUUUCAUAAAAAAUAUCAAAAAAAUAUAAGACCCAAGAGCGUUGAGUCUAACUGUAACACUGGAUCUAAAAGCAUUGAGUCUGACUGUAACACUAGAUCUAAAAGUAUUGAGUCUGGUUGCAACACCAAACUCAACAAUAAUAUUUAUAAUAUAAAUAAUAAUAUUUAACUUGUCUGCCUAUAUUGUUAUAUUUUUAAAUCUUUAAAAAAAAAUUAUGAUUUUUCUUCAAUAGUAAUAAUAGUAUUAUUUUAAAUUUAUUAAUAAUAAUGAUAAUAAUAAUAAUAAUAAUUUUUAAUUUUACCUUUUAAAUCAAAUCUAUGGUGGUUUUUCAAUAUUGAUAAUAAUGUUUUUCAAAUUUAUUAAUAAUAUUAAUUAUAAUAAAAAUAAUAACAUUUAUAAUACAAAUAAUAAUAUUUUUAAUAUUAAUACUAUUAAUUAUAAUAAAAAUAAUAAUAUUUAUAACACAAAUAAUAAUAUUUUUAUAAUAAUAUUUUUAAGUAUAAUAAAAAUAACAAUAUUUAUAACACAAAUAAUAAUAUUUAGAAACCUAAAACACAUUAGUGUUGGAACUUGACGCCGGACCCAAGAGAAUUAGAUCCUAACACAGGUCUUAGGAGAAUUGGGUUCUAAAACAAGACCCAUUACCCUUGGAUCCUGAUGCUGGCCCCAAGAGAAUUGGGUUGUAAUGCAAGUGAGUUGGGUCCUAACGCAUGACCCAUCAGCCUUGAGUUUUGAAGCCGAACCCAAGAUAAUUGGGUCCUGAUGCAAUUCCCAAGAGAGUUAGGUCCUGACGUCGGACUGAAGAGAAUUAAGUCCUGACGCAGGACCCACUACUUAUGGGUCCAAACGCUGGAUCCAAGUGUAAACCCCAAUUGAAAAUUAGUCUGAAAAGCAAUUUAAAUGCUUAUAGAAUAGAUUUAUCAGAAGUACCAAAUAAGCAUUAGAACAAACCAUGUAAAAUAAAAAACAGAAAAGUGAAUAAAAUAUUACUAAGAGUGAAUUACCUAGAAAUAAAAUUAUCAAUAUGUAACUAAAUGAAAAUCGAAUUCACCCGGAUAAAAAGUUUAUACAGAGAAAUACUAGGAUCCAAGAAUUUUAUCUCAUGAACAAGAAAUUUACUAUUUAGGAUAUAGAGGGAAUUUGGUAAAAAGUUUAUAUAUAUAUAUAUAUAAGUGUGCAUGUGUGUGGGCAAGAAGAAAAAAGAGAGAAAAAGAAAUAGAGAGAAAUAGGGGAAACUAUCAUUUACAUGUGAGAGAGAAAACAAAAUGAUAAAAACAUAAAAUCUUAAGAGGAGAUCUUGAGGGAACAUUAACCAAACUUAGUGAGCAUUAAUUGGAAGGAAGAAAAACCUAGAAAAAAAGGAGGGAAGUUCAACCAAGAUUAAAGAAAAGAGGAGUUGGAAGCUUGAAUUGGGUAGUGUUUAGAGUCUUAUUAUUUGCUUGGUAGGGCAUUCUAAAGACUUUUAAUUUGAUUUUUAAUGGCUUAAAGUCUUUAAUUGAUUGAAUUUUUGAAAUUUGGAAAGUUAGGGUUCUUGAAUGAAUUUGGAAGAAAUAAAACUUUACUGUAAAUUAUCAUGGGGAAUAAUGUGAAAGUUAGAGUAAAGUAAUUAAAUUAUUGUAGUUGAAGUAAAAAAUUUUGAUAAUUAAAUAGGGCUAGUGGUUAACCAAUGAUGAGAGUUUUUCAAUCUUAUUUUAUGCUACUCUGUUAGUGCUUUAUACUCCAUGAUGUGAAUUGAUGAACAAUGUAGGCAAUAGAACUAUUUUUUUGAAUAUCUCUUUACAACUUCUUAAAUUUCAUGGAGAUGUCUGAUGAGGAAUAUAGUUGAUUGUUGGUCCUUAUUAGAUUUUGUAUGUAAUGGAGUUAUGAGACGUUAAUAAUUCAUUAGAGAUGUUAAUUUGAUGGCUAAAAUCCAUGAAAUUCAACGGGACUAUUACAAAAGGUGAGAUAUUUAAGACAGUAACAAAUCAAACAUUAACAGUUGAGGUUUAAGACAGUAACAGAUCAAAUAGUAACGGUUGAGGUCUAAGACAGUAACAGAUCAAAUAGUAAUAGUUGAGGUCUAAAACAGUAACAGAUCAAACAUUAACAGUUGAGGUCUAAGACAGUAACAGAUCAAAUAGUAAUAGUUGAGAUCUAAAACAGUAACAGAUCAAGCAAUAACAGUUGAGGUGUAAGACAGUAACAGAUCAAGUAGUAAUGGUUGAGGUCUAAGACAGUAACAGAUCAAACAUAUAUAUAUAUAUAUAUAUAUAUAUAUAUAUAUAUAUAUAUAUAUAUAUAUAUGAGAACUGAGUUGUGUGGACACUUGCACGUUGAGAUACUGACUCUGAAAAUAUAUAUGAUAUGUGUAUAUAUGUUAUGAUGAAGAAAUAAACAUGCAUAAAAAGUAACAUAUGUGUAAUGAAUGAAUAUGGAUUCAGGAGGAGUGACCAUGAUUGGAUCUUCUGUUGGGGGAGGUCACGAGACAGGCGAAGCAGGUGCGUGAUUUUCCCUCCUCUUUGCACUUAUGCAAUUUAAAUAUAUUUUUUUGGUGAAUGCAAUUACAAUAAAUGUCAUGUUCAAUGUAAAUAAAAUCUAGCAUAUUUACAAAAUUAGCUUCGGCUAAUAGCAUCUGUGAUAGAAUUGCUAGGAGAUGAACUACAAGAUUAACUUUGACUAAUGUUGUCCGCGUUGGGACGCCCGAGAACGAUUGAUAAGACUCGAUUUGUAAAGGGUAUCCGUGUUUGAAUGAUCUAGGGGAAAUUGAUAAAUAUAAUUGCCUAAAAAUGUCUAAGUUGGACUAUACAAAGUCACCCGGUUCAUGCAAGUAAAUAAGAGUAUUUAAAUUAAGGAUAUGCAAAUGAGUUUUAAUUGGGUUUAAAUGAUUUACAAGCAAAUUAUAAGUUGAUUGUUAGAAUUCCUAUGGAUUCGAUAGAAAAUUUAUACUUCAUUCGUAUACAUUACAUGAUCAUAUAUAUUUCUUUUAUCAACAUAAUGGUAUGCUUACUUAGUUGUUUGUGUAACAUGUCCAUCAACUGUCCAGGGAGAUCAUUAGUUUGGGACUCCACUUUGUUAAGCUUAUGUAAAUAUUUAACUUAAGCAUAAGGGAAUUAACAUGAUUAUACAAUAUGUUUUUGUGUAAAUCUUGAUGUAUAUAUAAAAGUCUUAGCUCAACAUAUAGUACAUUAGUUAUCUUGUAAUUAACUCUUUUGAAAUGUUUAAAAAUACUUAUUAUAUUUUAAAUUUUCUCUUUACAUGUUAGUAUCCCUUUUUCCUUUUAAAUAUUAUAAUAUGAUUUGUGGGAUAUAUAUAUAUAUAUAUAUAUAUAUAUAUAUAUAUAUAUAUAUAUAUAUAUAUAUAUAUAUAUUGUGUGGAUUGUAUGAGGUGUUGAAUAUUGAUGAUUGAAAUAAAGUCUGAAAUUAUAGGACCUUAUGAUGAUGGGUUGAUUGAGUAAAUUGAUAGUAGUCGAUAACUUGGGAUAUCCUAAAUACAAACGAAACUCUACCAAAAUUUUGGUAGAAAUCUUUACAAAAACAAUUACCCUCAAAUUAAGAGCAUAUGAUGGGGUCUUUUAGCGUUGAUCAAAUUGUACAGUUGAGUCUGUUACAGUUGGUAUUAGAGCCCUGGUAUGGAUUCUAGGAAGAAUUCAAAAGAGGUUAUUGAUGUUUGUUAAUUUAUUGCAGGAUGGUACGUACCCACCAAGAGAUUAGAUCAGAUCUAUCUUCAACAGGGAGGGGGAAUAAAGAUAUAGACUUUUACGUUGGGCAAGAAGAGAACCUUUUGAAAGAUACUGCUUCACAUGCACCAGCAGUAUCGACUAAAGCAGGGCAUGAAGAAUCGAUGGGGCCUCAAGUCCGACAGGCACCAAGACAAAGGACCCAUUAGCCUUGGAUCCUAAUGCCGAACUUAAGAGAAUUAGGUUCUGAUAGAGGACCCAUUACAUUUGGGUCCUAACGUCAGAUCCAAGAAAAUUGAGUGUUGACGCAAGACCCAUUAGCUUUGGAUCUUGACACUGAACCAAAGAGAAUUGAGUUCUGACACGGGACCCAUUAGCUUAUGGUUCUAAUGCAGGACUCAAGAGAGUUUGAUCCUAACACCAAAUCCAAGAGAAUUGGGUGUUAACGCCGAAUCCAAGAGAAUUGGGUUAUGACACAGGACUCAUUAGCUUGGGUCUGGACACGGAUACAUUACCAAUGGGUCUAGACGCCGGACACAACAACCUUUGGUACGAUACGAACCCCAGAGUGGGCUAGAUAGGGCUGCAAGACCCAAGUGAUUUGGGUCUGCUCUUUUGCCAAACCCAAGUAACUUGGGUGAGGCACCCCUUUCCAGCCCCAGGAUUUUUAGGUCUGGAAAGGGAUGCCUAACCCAAGUUAAUAACAAUAAUAUUAUAUUUUACCUUUAAAAUCAAAUUUAUGUUUUUUUAUAGUAAUAAUAUUUAUUUUAAUUUUAAUAAUAUUAAUUAAUUGAAUAAUAUUUAUAAUAAUAUUUAACUUAUCUGUCAAAGUUCUUAUAUUUUUUAAUCUCUUAAAAAAAACAUUAUAGUUUUUUUUCGAUGAUAAUAAUAUUUUUUUAAAAUUUACUAAUGAUAACAACAACAACAACAAUAAUAUUUAAUUUUACAUUUUAAAUCAAAUCUAUUAUUAUUUUUUAAUAAUAGUUUUUAUAAAUUUAUUAAUUAUUAUAUUAAUAAUAAUCAAAAUAAUAAGAUGUUAUGUGGGAGGGUCUGCACCCAUCACGGUUCUGGAGACCCAGGUAAUAUCACAUUAAUAGUGAAAGAUCUACUCAACCAUGAUUUUAAAAGUUUUCCUUGACGAACAUGCGACGUUUUUUAGCCAAGAAAAUACGAUGUCGUAGGGCAAUCUUUAAAAAUUAUUUUUAUUUAAUUCUGUGGUAAUUAAGAUAAAUACGUGUAGGAAUUCUGAUAAUUUAAAUUAUGGAGAAUAAACUUAUUCAUUGUUCAAUAAACACUGUGAUUUGUGAGUGUAUGCACAGUGUUGUUUUAUGUACAGAAAGAAAAGGGAGCCAUGUUUUAGUUUAUAGUGUUAGUGUUACUAUUUCAUGAGAAGCUAAUCCUGUAUUAGUUUUUGGUAGUUCAGAAAUUAAUGUGAUUUACUUAGCUAAUCCAGUUCCCAUGAGAAGCAAAAGAUCCUGUAUAAAGUUUUCUAUAAUGACAUUUUGUAUUUAAUUUUUUUGUUUUAAAAGAAGUUAAAUUUUUAUAAUUUUUUUCAAAAUAAUUUUUUAUUUUUUUAUAUUAUUUGAAUAUGCUGAUUUUAAAACUAAAUUCUAAAUAAUAAUAAAAAAUUAUUUAAAUAUAUUUUUAAAAAACAACUGAAUUUUUGCAGAAAACCCAGCUAUAAAUUAACAUCUUUAGCCCGUGACGGUAACCGGCAGUUCUACCCAUGACGGUGGCGGUGAGUCCUCCCAAUUGUACAUGUCGGAUCCUUCUUGCCCGGGACGGUGAUGGGCAAUCCCGCCUGUCAUUUCAGUGUGGCCCCAGGUGAAAUGAUUUUAAAAUAUAAAAAAAUUAGCUUUUAAUAAUUAAAUAAUUUUAAUUUAAAUUGAGGAAAAAAGACUUCUUAACAAAAUAAAACUUACGAUAUUACAGUAACAAACAUGCUAAAAAACAUCUUCUUUUUCAAAGCAUGCAACUACAGGACCAGCCAUAUUAAGCUGCUUGUGAUAUUACUCCUCAUACAACCAAAUCAAUCCAUAACCUACGAGAUUUAUUGCAACUCUUGCUUACUUUUCAAUUCCAUAACCUAUGCUUGCUUUCAAAUAUAUAUAUAUACUAACUUUGAACGACAAACAUGUUUGUAAAUUAAGAGUGAAAGGAAAGUUGAAAAUCACAGGGAGAGCCUUAUAUAUAUAUAUAUAUAUUACUCCUCAUAGAAUUUCAUGAAGCAUUGAGGUUCUGGGCGAGAAGUUGACCACUCCUGAUAUUCUGGGCUUCUUCAAAAGCCACAAGCUCAAUGAUCGAUGGUCUUCUGGGAAAGUUGAAAGAAACACUGAAUACCCUCAACGGACUUCUCGACGACGCGGAGGAGAAGUAGAUUACCAAGCCUGCUGUGCAGAAGUGGCUUAAUGAUGCUAGACAUGCUGUGUAUGAAGCUGAGGACUUAAUGGAGGUGAUUGAAUAUCAACAUCUACGAUCCAAGGAUAUUAAAGCUGCCUCUCGACGAGUUAGGAAUCGGGUAAGCAUAUGGUUUUGCUCUUGUAGACCUUGCUUUCUCGUAUAAUGUUAUUAUCGAUCCCUCUGAUUUUUACAAGCACAAUUCGAAAUUGUAAGAUAUCAGAAAAUUUCAUAUCUUUUCUUGAAAUAUUUCAUGCAAACAACACCCCUCAAUUAUGCUAAUUUAUCUCAUGCAACCAAUCCUAUGAUACUAUCCUGCAACCACUACUCAUUAUUAUUCCAACAAAUUCCAACCACUUUUUAAUAGCCCAGCCUGGCCAAGCUGUCAACUUAAUUAAAACAUGUUCAAUCUAGAAUUUGAAUUAAAUUGUUUUUUUUAAAACAAAAAUCAAAGUUGACCCAUUAAUUUUUAAAAAAACAUUAGCACUAAAUGUUAAAUAUUGGUGUCAUAACACCUUUGAAAAAAAAAUUAGUGGAAUAGCUUAUUUUCACAUUUUUAAUAGCAAUAUUUAGUAAAUAUUAUUUUUUUGAAGUGCAACAAAGUGAAAGUCCAAUUAUUUGACUUAAUUAGUUAGUUGAUUGAAUUUAAUUGUAUUAACUAGUCGAUUAUUUCACAUAAAAACCAUAAUUUUAUGAAUUUUUUCUUUCAAAUAUAAAUUAUGAGUCAAAAUAUACAUGUGUCUAACAUCUAGACUAAAAAAUAGAUUUCAAUUAAAGUUUUAAAAAAAUUAUUAUUUACAUAGUAGUUGUUAUCUAUUUUUCAAUGUCAAUUAAUGAUGUAGAAAAGCUUGUGACAGUAAGUGAUUCUAAGUUGUCAGAUGUUUGUUUAUCAUAACUAUAUAAGGAUUGUCCUAAAUAAAUUAAAUGUAUGACCUAACAAAUAUAUUUAUAGACCAAUAAAAUAGUUUGAAGCUUAAGAGGAGAUUUGAUCCCACAAAGCCAGAAUAAUAAGAAAAAAAACCAUAAUUUUUUAUUUGACUAUUGAAUUGCACUCAAAUUUUUAUAGGAGUUUUUAAAAACCACAUUCUCUAUUGUAGUCACUGCAUUGCUAUGUAGACUGUUAAAUCUUUAGAUAUAAAAAAUCUCGUCAAAACCCCUUGAUUUUGGUAUUUUUAAGAUUUUUAUUAUUAUUUUCGGAAUUAAUUGACUAAUUUCAUUAACUAUUAUGAACAAGUCAAUUAAUUAAGUCAAAUGAUUAAAAUUUUACCUUAUCAGAACCUUAUUAGAAACAUAACAUUUAUUAAAUGUCACUAUUCGAAAAAACGACAAUUAUUUUGUGAUGCUUAGGAAUAGUAACAUUUAAUAAAGUUUCCAUUUCUAAAUCCAGCUAGUAGAAGGAUGAAAGAGAUGGGAGCAGAGUUACAAAAGAUCCAUGAGAAGCUUGAACGUUUUACUUAUACACAAGGGUGAUCUGCGCCAUAUAGAAGUUACUGGUGGACGCAGACCAUUGUCAGAGAAAACAACUCCACUGGUUAAUGAAUCUAAUGUAUAUGGAAGGGACGCUGAUAAGGAAGCCAUAAUGGAGCACUUGUUGACACAACACACCACAGAUGGCUCAAAUUUACGUGCGGUCCCUAUUGUGGGCAUGGGCGGGAUUGGUAAAACCACUCUUGCUCUGCUUAUCUACAAAGACGAAAGGGUACAGCAACGCUUCCAACUCAAGGCCUGGGUCUGGGCUUCUCAACAAUUUGAUGUUGCCAGGAUUAUUAAGGAUAUUCUUGAUCAACGCAAGAACUUGCCGCACCAAAGAACCAGAUGAAUCUCUAAUGGAGGCAGCGAAAGGGAAAAAACUUCUUCUUGUUCUAGAUGACGCGUGGAACAUCGAGUACAAUGAAUGGGAUAAACUACUGCUACCUUUGCGGUAUGUGGAGCAAGGAAGUAAGAUUGUCGUGACAACACGGGAUCAAGAUGUAGCAAAAGUCACGCAAACUGUCAUCACCCCUCACUGCUUGAAAGGAAUAAGCGAUGAAUAUUGCUGGAAGUUGUUUGCAAGGGAUGCAUUUAGUGGUCUAAAUUCUGAAGCAGUCUCACACUUGGAAGCAUUUGGCAGAAAAAUAGUGAGAAAGUGCAAAUGUUUGCCGCUGGCAGCGAAAACUCUUGGUGGUCUUUUGCACUCCGUAGAAGAUGUCAAGCAAUGGGAGAAGAUAUCCAAUAGCAGUUUGUGGGGUUCGUCGAAUGAAAACAUCCCUCCAGCUUUAAAAUUGAGCUAUUAUUAUCUCCCUUCACACCUGAAACGUUGUUUUGCUUAUUGUGCAAUAUUUCUCAAAGGUUAUGUAUUCAAGAAGGAUGGAUUAAUCACUGAAUGGAUGGCACAUGGUUUUUUAUUCCAGCCAGAGGUGUUGAGGAGAUGGAAGAUAUAGGUGAAAAAUACUUUGAUGAUCUUGUCUCCAGGUCAUUUUUCCGGCAAUCACUUUAUGCUCCAUCAUAUUUCAGCAUGCAUGACAUCAUAAGUGAUUUAGUUGAAUACGUGUCAGGAGAAUUUUGCUUUAAGCUUGGUAUUAAUGAAUCGGGAUCUGGGUUGGAGGGUGAACAUUCAUGCUCGCUUCCAGAAAGGACUCGUUAUUUAUCAAUCACUUCAGCGGCAGUUCGGACAUUUCGUAGCAUUCAUGGAGUCCAACAUUUGCGCGCCUUGUUUCCACUAUAUAUUUUCGGGGAAGAUGAUAGUGAGGCACUGAAUGACAUCUGGCUAAAUCUUAAGCGCUUGCGAAGGCUAUCUUUAUGUCAUCUAAAAGAUAUUUCUUCUCAGUUGCUCAAUUCCAUUGGCAACUUAAAACAUUUGCGGCACUUGGACCUUUCUCGCACCGCCAUUAAAAGGUUACCUAAAAGUGUGUGCACUUUGUACUAUUUGCAAAGCUUAUUGUUAAAGAAGAGCCGACAUCUCAUGCAGUUGCCAUCCAACCUUUUCAACUUGGUCGCCUUACAACAUCUUGAUAUUGAGGGGACAAAUCUGAAAAAGAUGCCACCGAAAAUGGGGAAACUCACAAGGCUUCGAACUUUGCAAUAUUACGUAGUGGGAAAAGAGAGGGGGUCUAGCAUGAAAGAGCUGGGGAAGCUCUCACAUUUAAGGAAAAAACUUUCUAUUCGGAAUCUCAGAGAUGUUGCAAAUGCUCAAGAUGCUUUGGAUGCCAAUUUGAAGGGUAAGAAGAAGAUUGAGGAGUUGAGGUUGAUAUGGGAUGGCAAUACAGAUGACACCCAACAGGAGAGAGAAGUACUUGAGAAAUUGGAGCCUUCUGAAAUUGUGAAACAGCUUGCCAUUAAGGGUUACGGGGGUACAAUGUUUCCAGACUGGCUUGGAAACUCUUCUUUCUUAAAUAUGGUAGCGUUGACUCUUUCUGGAUGUAAGAACUGCAUCUCCUUACCACCAUUGGGGCAGCUGCCAUCUCUUGAAGAGCUCCAUAUUGAAGGAUUUGAUGAUGUCGUGGCAGUUAGUUCUGAGUUCUAUGGAAGCGACCCUUCGAUGGAGAAGCCAUUUAAAUCCCUCAAAAUAUUAAAGUUUGAGGGGAUGCGAAACUGGCAGGAAUGGAAAACAGAUGUAGCUGGUGCUUUCCCUCAUCUUGCAAAUCUCUUGAUAGCAGGUUGUCCCGAGUUAACAAAUGGCUUGCCUAAUUACCUUCCUUCUUUAUUGAUACUUGAGAUUCAAGCGUGUCCACAGCUUGUGGUUUCAAUUCCAGAGGCUCCCCUGCUCACCGAAAUCAAUGUAAAAGUCACUAAAACUUUCAUCCCCUCUCACCGCUGGAAUGCACUAAGCGAUGAAGAUUGCUAGCAGGUUCUUCUUGCAAGGUAUGCAUUUUAGGGAGAGGAUAUCCAAUAGCAGUAUGUUACUAAAAAAAUAUUUUUAAACUGUAUAUAUAUAUUUUUUAAAAUACACUAGGUAUAUUAAGUUUGUAAAGCAAUGGGAGGAGAUAUAUUAAGUUACUAAAACAAGGUGUUUAUCAUUUUGUUUGGUUGUCCAUAAGGUUUUGUUACGCAACUAUAUAAAAAUAAAAAUCAUAAUUUGUCGACAUUACGGCACAGAAUUGUGAAAUUCAUCCUCUCUUGCCAUCGAAACCUGAGAGUGUUUUGACUUUUGGAGUGGAGGGCAGAAAUAAAAUUGUAGUUAUAUUAAGUUAUAAAAAAAAUAGUUUUAAACUGUAUUUAAAAAAAAUACAUUAGGUAUAUUAAGUUACUAAAUUUUUUUAUUAAACUGUAUUUUUUUUUAAAAUACAUUAGGUAUAUUAAGUUUGUCAAGCAAUGAGAGAAGAUAUAUUAAGUUACUAAAAAAAUAUGUUUAUCACUUUAUUUUUAUUUCUCGUAAAAGUCGGUUACGCAAUCGAAUCGGGGAUGAUUGGUUGAAUGAUUGUUUGGUUACUUAUAUCGAAAAAAAUAUAUUUGAAAGUGUUGAUAAUGGAAAGAUUCUAUAACGUUUUCAGCAUAUGAAGUCUUGCAGGGAUUUCACGGAGCAUCUUUUUAUAAUAUAUGUGAAUUUUUAAAUUUUAUAUUAGAAGCUUAAAAUUUUUAGAUUUUUUAGAUCUUAAUUAAUUUAGUUAUAUUAUUUUGCUAUCUAUGAAAACUCGAUCUGGAUCCGUCCUUUAUCAAAUGAAGUAUAUAUCAUGUUGAAACCGGUAAUGAGUUUCGAUUGAUAGAAGAAUCAGGAAAAAAAAAUUAAAAUAGAUGUGCUUUGAGAGUGAUAAAAUAAUUUCAAGGAAUCAUAGUAAAAUAACUUAUAUGGUUCUAGCAAUAUUGAAAAAGAAAAUUUGGAUUUAGACAUAAAAUUAUAUAUUGACUAGUUUUACGCUAUUGAGCAUGACUCUCAAUUCGAUCUUUCGAUUGAGUUGAAAGUCCACAAGAAGACUUCUGAUAUAUUGCUCUAUCUUGGGUUAAAAGUUUAGGGUAGGCCAUCAUAGAAUAUCAACAGUCGAACUAAAAAUAACAUGUAGAUUCAUUAAUGAUAUUUUCAUAAAUAAGCUAGAAAAACUAAAAAUUUAGUUUCUUCUUCCCCUCUAAACUACCGGCUAGUGCUAAAACAACUAUAAUAGAAAAAACAAAUUGAGAGCUUACUCAUUGGAACCCUUGAAUCAAGAUUUAAGGCAAGAUAGGUGAGGGAAUAAAUAUUAAACACAUCUCGACUAAGUGCCAUCCUAUAAAUUUGUUUUCAAUUUGCAUUUGAUGAAAAAUAUACAAGGAAUCAUAAAUGAAUUAACUUAAGCAUUGCGAAGGAAAUAUCAAGAUAUCAUAAAUGUGUUGACAAGUUAAAAAGUUUUGAAACAACAAAUUUAAAUGAUAAGGGAUGAAGGAUGAAAAUAUUUAGUUGAUGAGAUUUUUUUUUGGUGUGAAAGACAUAGCAUUGAUAUUUCAAAAAUAAAUGAUGUGUUUGUCAUUUGCAGCCGAUCAAGGUGUAAUACCCAACAAUUAAUAAACUUGUAUCAUUAACAGGCCGAGCUGUUCUAUACAACAAUUGACAUGCAACUUCACGAGCUUAACAAUUGUUUUAUCAAGAUACACAUGGAGUUGCUUCCUUGCAUUGCAUGUUUGAAACUCAAUCUCUAUAAUAUUAUAAAUAGGUUAGCAUUGCAAUAACAAAAAAAAAAUAUGAUAACCAUGACAAUAAUAAUAAUAAUAAUAUGAAUAUGUAUAUUUUUAUUAGUUGAUGGAUCAAUUUGAAAGCAUCAAAGUACUUUUUUGUAAAAAUAAACUAAUAAAUGGUACACCCGAGGCAAAAUUAUAGCCAAUAUAGCUUGUUGGCCAAGGGAAAGUGUCACGGGGGUAUUUUUCGCUACGCGAAUAAACCCGUGCGGCAGCCUAGUCCUUCGCUAGACUCAGCCUUCCCUCACCAAUCUCACUCGUGUUUGCCUAAUAACUAAGCAAGCGGAAUACACAAGCAAGGAUAAGAAUCAUAGUGCACAACAAGCUUUACAGGAACUCUUUCCCAACCUUUAUUAAUCUCAUACACAAAGGAAACUAUACACAAAUCCGUAUGUGUGCUAUGCACAAAGAUUACAUGCUACACUAAGCUACCUCUAACUAGUGUUCUACACAUGUUCUUGCAUGCCCCUACAUGCUGGACAUUCCCAACCGAAUGCCCUUACAAUCUGAACAUUCCCACCUGAAUGCUCUCCCACAACCAAGAGCUACAUCUUGUAUUUAUAGACAAGCAAAGGAGCUGCAAAGGCUCCUCCCCAUUAUCCCCCAUUUUCAGGACCUAGUGGAGCACUACCUCUCUCCCAUGAUCCCAUGUUUUCAGGACAUGGUGGAGCACUACCUCUCACCCAUGAUCCCAUGUUCUGCCUCCCAUGAAGCUGCCACUCUCCUUAUUUUCUGGCUGUCUACUUGGCAGCCCCAGCUGCCAGCUUCUGCUGCGUCAGCUGCUGACUUAGAAGGUCCAUCAUCUAAGCCCCCACGUCCAUGUCAAGUCGCAAGCUCAAAGACUCGCAUAGACCAUUGCAUGCUGCCUGCCGAAUUCAUCUCUGCCUAUGCAAGGCUGCCGCGAUCCAUCGCUGCCGAAUUCUAAGCAGAGUGCCUUCGUUGGCGCGUCCCAGCGCCUAGAGCUCUUAGCCCAUGCCUUGGACAGUCCUUCGCCCAAGUUUUAGAUCGUGCCAAGUCGAGCCCCUGACUUGCACAAGUUUGCUGCGCGCUGCCGAGUCCGCAUCUGCAGGCAAGCUGCCAAUGCGCUGCCGAAUUCGCAUAUGCGUGCUGCCAAUCUCUGCGCUGCCGAAUUCGCAUCUGCGUGCAGGCUGCCCCUGUCUACGCUGCCGAAUUCUGCGAUAGUCCCAAUUCUCGUCAGCCUAUCCUCCUGACGAGGCUUGGACAGUCCCUCGUCCAGCCCAUGUUCGUCAACAAUCUGCGCUGCCGAUUUUCCCUUUGACGAACCUACAGCCGCAUAAAUCUGCGCUGACGAUUUCUCCCACUGAUGGCAUGGCUGCCAGCACCCUUCGGCCUUGUUUUGGCCAGCCUGCCGAAGCGUGCACCUCGUGCACAUUUGACACUGUGACAGAAAGAGUCUUUUCGUUUGUAGUUUUGGAGUAGCAAAUAAUGGCUUAUGAUAAGCAAACGUUGAUUCAUCUUGCUUAAUUCUAUCUAUCUAUUUUCUUCAUAGUUGAGCUUGCAGCACUUAUAAUCAACUGGAAACUUAUAUUCUUGACAUGAGAUCCUGUGAAGAAUUUCCAAAGCUAAAAGAAAUCAAUUAUUCUGCUAAAAAAUUGGUAAAGACAAACUAUUUCAUUAGAAAAUAAAAUAUUUUCAGCGAUGAAAUUGAUUAAAAAUUGAUUACGCAAUCGAAUCAGAGAUGAUUAAUUAAAUGAUUGUUUGAUUAUGAUUACUUAUAUCGAAAAAGAUAUAUUGAGAAGUGAUAAUAAUAAGAAAAUCCUAUAUUUCAACAUAUAAAAUCUUGCAAGGAACAAUUAUAAAUUAUAUAAAAAAGAAUUUCAUGAAUCAUCUUUAUAUAUAUAUAUAUUACAAAUUUAUAAUUUUAAGAUUUUUUAAAUCUUAAUUAAUUUAAUUAUAUACUUAUAUUAUUUUAUACGUUAAAACUGGAGUCCAUCCUUCAUCUUAAUGGCAUAGAUGAAAUAUCUUAUUUAUGCCCAUUUGAAGAUAAUUAAUCCAGACUUAAUCCACUUGAUGAUGCCUUAAUCAUGCUGAUAAAAAAAGAUUAAUACAUUAAGCACAAGUGUUGAUAUAAUCAGUGGCAGAGCCCCGGGGCUGGCAGGACCCGGCCUUGUAAGAAAAUGUUCUUGUCAAUAUUUUUUUAAUAAUAUUUAUAGUUUCAGCUCAAAUAAUAAAAUAACUGAAAUCUUUGCCUUCUAAAAUAUUUUUUUUAAUUUUAUUUUGUGACCCAGCCCUAAAUAUAAUAUAAAUAAUUUAAUAUUGUUAGGAAGUUUUAAACCGGCUUCCAUGAAUUUAAUAUUGCCUAUCAUUUCAGCGUGUCCCGAGGUGAAAACAUUUGGCCUUUUUUUUUAAUUACUGAAAACUUAACAUGUCAUGUGCUAAAUUCUUUUUUUUAUUAUUUACGUGGGGUGUCCGGGCCAGCUUACGCGCACCACGACUAUUCCCCACAGCCCGCUGGACAUCCUGCAAGCCCAGGAGCAGGUAAGGCACCGCGGAGGUGACAGGCGUGCACAUAGAGGGUCGAACCCGGGACGGGAGCGGAACAAGUCACACGAUUGACCACAACAGCUAGACCCUCAAGUGCAUCAUGUGCUAAAUUCUUGAAGAACCCAGUGAAUGCCAAAAUUAAAGAUUCAUUUUGAAAAUUAAUUUGAAAUAAAAAUGAAAAAAUAUAAUUUUUUUUCAAAAAUACUUUUACAUCCAGAAACAAAAAUGACCUUAUGUAAGGGACAUGCACGUAUCCACUUAGAUAUAAAACCCCAGCCAAGAAACCAAAGAAGAGAAGUAGAGAACGGUAGCUCAGGGGAGCGUUUGGCAUGGAAAAAUGAAAGGGCACGGUCGUAUAUAUUCUUUGGAUUUCCACAUUGGUAAUAUAUACAUGAAUUUGUUUUUAUAUUAAGAAUUAUGUUUUAUGAUUGUUUUAAAUAAAAUUUGCUUUAAAUUAAUAUUGUUUUAGUAUUGUUAAAUUAUUUUAAUGUAAUAAUAUAAAAAAUAAUUUUUUAUUUUUUUAAAUAAAAAAUAAUUAUUACCAUACUCACCAUCAAAACUUAACAAGUACGGUAGGUAUGCAUCAAAGAAAAACCAAAGGACGGUAGGUAUGCAUCAAUGCCAUAAAUAGAGUUUGUCUUGUUCAGAAGACUUUGAAAGUGGCUUCGUUGACUCUGCAGACACGAAGAAUAGUCAAAAGUCCUAAAAUUAACUCAUCUUUGCUAUCCACGGCGGCGCAUCAUUAGUGGGUUUGGAAAUUAACAUGGUGCUUCCGAUGAGCCAAGCUAUGUGUUCACAGUGAUUAAUUCGAAUGUGUAAGCAAUAUCGUUGCUAUCACCAUUUGCUUUGAAGGGCUAUUUAAAAAUAUAAUAGUAGUUAUUUCUUUAAAAUAUAUAUUAAAUAUAUAUAUUUUUUUAUUUUUUAAAAAUUAUUUUUGAUAUUAAUACAUCAAAUCAAAACAAAACAAAAAAUAUAAAAAAAUUAAUAUAAAAAAUUUAAUUUUAAAAAAACAUGAUUUUAAAUGCGAUCCCAUACAAUAGAUUAGAUAGAAAAAAAAAGGAAACUGGAAAAAAAACAUUAAUUAAAAUGAUAAAUAGAUAUAAAUAAAUUAUUUUUUCUUCAAAUUAGAAUCGUUAUUUUCUAUACACUAUUGUCGCUAAAAUUAUAAAAUCAUUUUAUAAUUUAUAAUCAUUUUCUAUAUAUUAUUGUUGCUUUUUUUCAUAUAUAUAUAUAUAUAUAAUCCUCACUAUGAAAUUCUGAAAGAGAGAACGGCGGCUAAAAGCAACAACAUUUUAGCUAGAUAAAUAAAGUUUAAUGACUUGAUAUGUUCUUAUAUUAUAAAAUAUUUCUUUGAUCUAUUUCUAUAUAUCUAAUUAAGUUAAUUUUAUUCUUUAAUAUAUAUUAAAUUUAUAAUUUAUCAUUCUUCUCAUGUAAACUCACUCCAAUUUGUCAUGUGUCUGUUACAUGCAAAACUAGAAGAUUAUAUUUAAAAUUUAACAUAUAUUUUAAAUAAAAUUGACUUAAAUAAAGAUAUAAUAGGUCAAUGAUAGAUAAAUAGCCCACUAUCGAAGGAUAUACUACGUUACUAAAAAAAAACCUGUUUAUCAAUUUGUGUGGUUGUCCACUAGGUUUUGUUCUCUCCAUUGAUAUUAAUUAUCAUCAGUAUCUGAAUGGCAUAGCAUAGGUUAAAAACUUAUUAUUAAUAUUUUAUGGAUGUACACAAGAAGAUAAUUAAUCCAUAAUAAUUUUUACGGUUUAACUGUCUAUAUAUUUUUAAAUUUUAUUAUUCGAUUAACAAAUUUAUUUAUACAUACCGCUUCCACGAGUUUUCUUGUCUCUUCCUUUCCUUUAAAGUCCCCGAAUUCCCAUCAUGGCUUAUUAGCUUUCUACUACUAUCAUUCUCUCUCUCACCCUUUCGCAAAAAUCGACAACUUCAUGACUCAGAAAUCUUGACCCCAUCUCCUAACAAUUCAUAGACAGGUAGGGUUCAGCAUUGCACCAUUCUUUUCAAGAACUGGUGGGAUGUCACAGAUUUCAAAUAGAUGGUAGGAAUGGACCUCUCGAUGAUAAGUAGGGCCCAAAUUGCCGCCCAAAGGCCAUUGUAGAUUCACGUUCAGAGAACAUCAGAUGCGAUGCUUAGCCGACAGUAGAGAAGAAUGAUUACUUCUGAAGAGAAUAUCAUUACAAAAUGAUCCCCGGCAAACAGUCAGGGAUGCCAGCACGGCCGGCUUACAUUGUUAAGCUUGUAACAAUCUAUAAUCAACUCGAAACUUAUAUUCUUAACCUGAGAUCUUGUGAAGAAUUUCCAAAGAUAAAAAGGAAUCAAUGAUCUUGCUCAGAAAUUAGUGGAGGCCAAGAAGGUUGUGGUUAGUAAUUUUACCUCGUGUGAAUAUAAUAUAAAUAAUUUAAUAUUGUUAGGAAGUUUAAAACCGGCUUCCAUGAAUCUUCUUGUCUUUUCUUUUCCUUUAAAAGUCUAUAUGGUUGUUCUCUUAAUGCAAUUCAUUGGAUUCUGCUUUCUACGGCCUUCUCUCUCACACCGUCCGCGAAGAUCCACCAUGGCUUCUGCUAUUGUCCUUUUUUUUUCUCUCCCGUCCUUUUGAUACUGUCGUCCUUCCGCAAAAAUCCACCAUGGCUCUGGGGUUGAGUAGAGGUUAAUUAUCUGUGCUGUCAUUGAGGUUUUGGUCGACAGGCUGUCCUCUCCUGAGGUUCUAGGCUUUUUCAAAAGACAAGCUCAAUCAAUGGAAAAGUUGAAGUUAAACAUUAAAUUAUUCUCCUUUUUUAUUUUUUUUCACAAGUAUUUAACCGUUCAAUUUGUAAGAACAUCAGUCUUUUUUAUAAGCCAACAAUUACACUUUUUAAAUUUGCUAUUAUAAUAAUUAUUUAUUUAUGUGAUAAUUUCACCAAUGUUUUUUUGGCCUUGUACCAAAUACCUUCUAAGAGUAAUACCAGAUGAAAUUUUUUAAAAUAUUUUUGAACCUCAUAGUUUCAUAUAUCUAUAUUUUAACCGUUAACUUCAUUUCUCACACGUUUCACUCUUUGACUAUUGAGUUUUGAUCCUUGCAAUUCUCAUAAAAGUACAUUUUGGUUCCUUAAGUUUUUAUUUUUAUUUUUGAUCCUUAUAAUUUCAGGUAUUUAUAUUUAAUUCUAAAAUUUUAUUUUCCUUACAUUUCAAUUCCUUUAUGUUGCGAUUAUAGAGAGAAAGUCGCUAGAAAAAAGAGAGGAAAGAGAAGUAUUUUGGUGAGUUGUAUUUCAAGAACAAAAAAUGUUGAUUUUGGAGAGUUGUAUUUUGAAUGAAACAGACCCAACCAAGGCCCCGAGUUACCCGGGUCCUGGGUUGACCCGUCAAGCGGGGCUGAGUUUGAUAACUAUGAUAACAACCAUGUCAGACCCAAGAUGUUAGGUAUAUCCUUGGAUCUAACGGCCAUAUCAGACCCAAUAGCCUUGGAUCUUACAUGACUACCAGACCUAGGGUCUGGUGAUUGGGUCUCGCAAUCAUGCCAGACCCCAACAUCUUGGACCUGGCUGCCAUGACUAAACUGAAAAAAAAAAAACAAAAUUUUGCAUAGUAACAAAUACAUAGUGAAAAUCCAACGUAUUUUAGUAUAUAAGUAAUAAAUUUAAUAAUUAACAUAUAAUGCAUGAUAAAAUUAGCAUUAAUUUUACCAGUGGCUACUGCAACAAUAAAGAAAAUAUUUUUAGCAUUCAAAUUGGUUAAAAAUCGAUUACAUGAUCAAAUUAGGGGUGAUUUGUUGAAUGAUUGUGUGGUUACUUAUAUCAAUAAAGAUAUAUUUAAAAGUGUUGAUAAUGAAAAGAUCCUACAAUGUUUUCACUAUAUGAAGUCUUGCAAUGAGCGAUUGUGAAUUUUAUAUAUAUAUAUAUAUGCAAUAUAUAUAUAUAUAUAUAUAUAUAUAUAUAUAUAUAGAAUUUUAUGAAAUAUCUUUUUAUAAUAUAUGUAAAUUUUUUAACUUUAUAUUAAAAAAUUAUAAUUUUUGGAUUUUUUAGAUCUUAAUUAAUUAAUGGAAAAGUUGAAGUUAAUUAUUAAAUUAUUCUCUCUUUUUUUCACAACUAUUUAACUAUUUAAUUUGUAAAUACAUCAGUCAUUUUAAAAAACCAACAUUUACACUUUUUAAAUUUGCUCUUAUAAUAAUAAUAAUUAUUUAUGUGAUAAUUUCAACCAUAUUUUUAAGCCUUAUACCAAAUACCUUCUAAGAGUAAUACCAAAUGAAGUUUUUUUUAACAAAACAUAUUUUUGAACCUAGUAGUUUUAUGUGUUUACAUUUUAACCGUAAACUUCAUUUCCCACUCGUUUCACUAUCUGAAUAUUGAGUUUUGGUCCUUGAAAUUCUCAUAAAAGUUCAUUUGGGUUCCUAAAAUUUUUUCUUUUAUCCUCGUAGUUUUAGCUAUUUAUUUAAUUCUAAAACUUUAUUUUCCUCACAUUUUAAUUCCUUGAUGUUACGAGUAUAAAGAGAAAGUCGUUAGAUAAAAAGAAAAGUAUUUUGGUGAGUUGUAUUUCAAGAACAAAAAAUACUGAUCUUAGUGUCCAUAAAUUUUUCUUUAAACACAUAACAAAAAAAAUUAAUAUUUUUUAAAAGUGGCCCUAAACAAAAUAAAAAAGAGGAGGUUUUAUCUAUUUUUUUGGUUUUUUAACCAGUCACAUUACUUUAUUUCUUUUCAAUUGCAUUCUUUAAAGCUAUAUUUUCAUGGCAACCAUAGCUAUCAAACCCAGCCUAGGAGUUAACCCGACUAAUGGGCUAAGUCCUGGUUUACACGAGUUGACUCGGGUCAACCAAGAAAAAUUUUAAAAAAAUAUUUGAGAUUUUAAUAUUUUAUAUGAAAAAAUAAGAAAUAAUCCAUAUGGAUAUAUGCUAUACAUGUUGUAAACAAUUAAAUUUAAAAGAUUAUUUCAAAAUGUUUUUUAUUCCACAUUGAAAAGAUACUAUCUUAUUCUUUUAAGUUAAAGUAUUUAAAUAAAAAAGGUUUUCUAUCCUACAUUGAAUAACCAUUAACUUUUUUAUUGUGAAUAUAGAAUAAAUAUAUAGACACAUACACACACUAAAAGACUUCAAAUUUUACAUUACAAAAAUAAAAUAUUUUUCUAAUAUUUAUAUACUGAACUUGAAAUGAGUUAGAAAAAAACUGAAAAUAUAUAAAAAAAAUCUCUAAAUAAAAGAAAAACACAUUUAAUAAAAACAGAAUCUCUAUCAAGUUUUUAUUGGGCCACCCGAGUUCCAGGUUUACCCAACAUGUUAACCAGUUUACUCCAGGCCACUUACACGUCCAAAUAUUGAAUGAAACAGACCACCAAGGCUUAUCAUUCUCUCUCACAUAAUCACUCUAUCACCCUUUCGCAAAAAUCCACCAAGGCUCCUGCUUUCCACUACUCCUUUUCUCUCACAUAUUCCGACCCUCACCCCUUCUGCAAAAAUCCACCAUGGCUCUGGAGUUGAUCGGAGGAUCAAUUCUCUCUGCUCUCGUUGAGGUACUGGUCGACAGGUUGGCCUCUCGUGAGGUUCUGGACUCCUUCAAAAGCCACAAACUCGAUGAUGGUCUUCUGGAAAAGCUGAAUGAAACACUGAAUACUGUCAACGGACUACUCGACGAUGCGGAGGAGAAGCAGAUUACAAAGCGUGCUGUGAAGAACUGGCUUAAUGAUGUUAAACACGCUGUGUAUGAAGCUGAGGACAUAUUGGAUGAGAUUAAUUAUGAAUAUCUACGAUCCAAGGACAUUGAUACCCCUCGACCUGACAGCAAUUGGGUAAGCAUAAGUUCUUGCACCUAUAGACCUUGCUUCCUCAUAAAAUGUUUUUUUUUUUUUUUUAACUUUCAUGUAUGCUCUCAAGUCUGUAAACGAGGAAAAAAUAAUUUUAGGGAUGGUUGUUGUCUUUCUGUGAGUUUUAAUUAAAGAGUAUUCAUUGUUAUGCAUGCAACUAAUAUCAUUGGCUUUUGGUGUCUAUGGCGUAAUUAUGCUUGCAAAUUCUCAUUUAUUAAUUAGUUUUCUAGACAUUUAAUCACUAUCUUUUUAAAACUUGAAUUUUACUGCGUGCAUUAAGUUAGCAUCAACAAUUGUAAAUUCUUGAAAAAGAUCUGUAGAAAGAAAACUUAUUAAUUCUCUAGAUGUAAAAAUCUUAAUGUUUAUGUUUUGAUAUUAAAAAAUUAUAAUGUUAUCCUGAAUUCUAUCUCAUAUAUUUAGUCCACCAUUGCAGGCAAGGAAUCUGGUUCCAUUUCUAAAUCCAGCUAAUAGAAGGAUGAAAGAGAUUGGAGCAGAGUUACAAAAGAUCUAUGAGAAGCUUGAACGUUUACUUAAACACAAGGGUGAUCUGCGCCACAUAGAAGGUACUGGUGGAUGGAGACCAUUGUCAGAGAAAACAACUCCACUGGUUAAUGAACCUGAUGUAUAUGGAAGGGACGCUGAUAAGGAAGCCAUAAUGGAGCACUUGCUGACACAACACAAGACAGAUGGCCCAAAUUUAGUUGUGGUUCCUAUUGUGGGCAUGGGCGGGAUUGGUAAAACCACUCUUGCUCAGCUUAUCUACAACGACGAAAAGGUAGAUCAGUUCUUCCAACUCAAGGCCUGGGUCUGGGCUUCUCAACAAUUUGACGUCACCAGGAUUAUUGAGGAUAUUAUUAAGAAGAUCAAAGCAAGGACUUGCCCCACCAAAGAACCAGAUGAAUCCAAAGAACCAAAUGAAUCUCUAAUGGAGGCAGUGAAAGGGAAAAAACUUCUACUUGUUCUAGAUGACGCGUGGAACAUCGAGUACAAUGAAUGGGAUAAAUUACUGCUACCUUUGCGGUAUGUGGAGCACGGAAGUAAGAUUGUCGUGACAACACGGGAAGAAGAUGUAGCAAAAGUCACGCAGACUGUCAUCCCCUCUCACCGCUUGAAUGUAAUAAGCGAUGAAGAUUGCUGGAAGUUGUUUGCAAGGGAUGCAUUUAGUGGUGUAAAUUCUGGAGCAGUCUCACACUUGGAAGAAUUUGGCAGAGUAAUAGUGAGAAAGUGCAAAGGUUUACCGCUGGCAGCGAAAACUCUUGGGGGUCUUUUGCACUCCGUAGGAGAUGUCAAGCAAUGGGAGAAGAUAUCCAAUAGCAGUAUGUGGGGUUCGUCGAAUGAAAACAUCCCUCCAGCUCUAACAUUGAGCUAUUAUUAUCUCCCUUCACACCUGAAACGUUGUUUUGCUUAUUGUGCAAUAUUUCCCAAGGAUUAUGUAUUCAAGAAGGAUAGAUUAAUCACUGAAUGGAUGGCACAUGGUUUUCUAGUCCAGCCCAGAGGCGUUGAGGAGAUGGAAGAUAUAGGUGAAAAAUACUUUAAUGAUCUUGUCUCCAGGUCACUUUUCCAGCAAUCCACUGGUGAUUCUUUUUUCAGCAUGCAUGACCUCAUAAGUGAUUUAGCUGAAUACGUGUCAGGAGAAUUUUGCUUCAAGCUUGGUAUUAAUGAAUCGGGCUCUGGGUUGGAGAGUGAACAUUCAUGCUCGCUUCCAGAAAGGACUCGUUAUUUAUCAAUCACUUCAGCGGCAGCAUAUGGCGGAGGACUUCGGAUUUUUCGUAGCAUUCAUGGAGUCCAACAUUUGCGCGCCUUGUUUCCACUGAAGUUUUUUGUGGAAGUUGAUAUUGAGGCACUGAAUGACAUUUUGCCAAAUCUUAAGCGCUUGCGAAUGCUAUCUUUAUGUCAUCCAAAAGAUAUUUCUUCUCAGUUGCUCAAUUCCAUUGGCAACUUAAAACAUUUGCGGCACUUGGACCUUUCUCAGACAGUAUUUAAACGGUUGCCCGAAAGUGUGUGCACCUUGUACUAUUUGCAAAGCUUAUUGUUAAAGGAGUGCCGACUUCUCAUGGAGUUGCCAUCCAACCUUUCCAACUUGGUCGACUUACAACAUCUUGAUAUUGAAGGGACAAAUUUGAAAGAGAUGCCACCAAAAAUGGGGAAACUCACGAAGCUUCGAAUUUUGGAAUCUUACAUCGUGGGAAAAGAUAGCGGGUCUAGCAUGAAAGAGUUGGGGAAGCUCUCACACAUAAGGAAAAAACUUUCUAUUCGGAAUCUCAGAGAUGUUGCAAAUGCUCAAGAUGCUUUGGAUGCCAAUUUGAAGGGUAAGAAGAAGAUUGAGGAGUUGGGGUUGACGUGGGAUGGCAGUACGGAUGACACACCACACGAGAGAGAUGUACUUGAGAAAUUGGAGCCUUCUGAAGAUGUGAAAGAGCUUGCCAUUAUUGGUUACGGGGGUACAACGUUUCCAGGCUGGCUUGGAAACUCUUCUUUCUCAAAUAUGGUAACGUUGCUUCUUUCUGGAUGUACGAACUGCAUCCUCUUACCACCAUUGGGGCAGCUGCCAUCUCUAGAAGAGCUCGAAAUUGAAGGAUUUGAUGAAGUCGUGGCAGUUGGUUCUGAGUUCUAUGGAAGUGACCCUCCAAUGGAGAAGCCAUUUAAAUCCCUCAUAACAUUAAAGUUUGAGGGGAUGAAGAAAUGGCAGGAAUGGAAUACAGAUGUAGCUGGUGCUUUCCCUCAUCUUGAAAAUCUCUUGAUAGCAGGUUGUCCAGAGUUAACAAAUGGCUUGCCUAAUCACCUUCCUUCUUUAUUGAUACUUGAGAUUCGAGCGUGUCCGCAGCUUGUGGUUUCAAUUCCAGAGGCUCCCCUGCUCAGAGAAAUCAAUGUAUCUGAGGGAGAUGAAAGUCGUAUAACUGGUCGUACGUCGUCCUAUUAUUGCUACUACUUACCAGAUCAACCACCCAAGUGCCUUCAUUUUAGACGAGAUCCCCAGCUAACGGGAAUGGAGCAAAUGAGUCAUUUGGAUCCCCGUCUUUUCACUGAUAUCAAAAUCGAGGAAUGUAGUUCAUUUAAGUGCUGCCAGCUAGACCUUUUACCCCAGGUCACCACACUUACCAUUGAACAUUGUCUCAAUCUGGAAUCCCUAUGUAUAGGCGAGAGACCUGUCCCUGCUCUCUGUCGUCUGACAAUCAGUCACUGUCCUAAUUUGGUGUCUUUCCCCAAAGGAGGACUAGCUGCCCCGGAUUUGACAAGCCUUGUGUUAGAGGGUUGCUUAUAUUUGAAGUCGUUGCCGGAAAACAUGCGUUCCCUCCUACCUUCCCUACAGGAUUUGCAAUUGAUCUCACUUCCAGAAGUUGAUUCGUUUCCUGAAGGAGGUUUACCCUCCAAUUUAAACACACUUUGCAUUGAAGAUUGUAUCAAACUCAAGGUAUGUGGUUUGCAAGCACUCUCUUCUCUUUCAUACUUCGAAUUUAGUGGGAACGAUGUGGAGUCUUUUGACGAGGAGACGUUGCCCUCUACUCUCACAACCCUUAAAAUCAAACGUCUGGGAAACCUGAAGUCUCUGGACUAUAAGGGGCUUCAUCACCUCACCUCUCUUCAGGGAUUGGGUAUCGAGGGUUGCCCUAAGCUUGAGUCCAUAUCAGAGCAGGCGCUUCCCUCCUCCCUUGAAUACCUUUAUCUCAGAAAUCUAGAAUCUCUGGACUACGUGGGGCUUCAUCACCUCACCUCUCUUGACACAUUGAAGAUCAAGAGUUGCCCUAAACUUGAGUUCGUAUCAGAACAGGUGCUGCCCUCCUCCCUUGAAUACCAGGGGCUUCAUCACCUCACCUCUCUUAGAAAUUUGAGUAUCGAGAGUUACCCUAAACUUGAGCACAUAUCAGAACAGGGGCUGCCCUCCUCCCUUGAAUGCCUUCAUCUCUGUAAACUGGAAUCUUUGGACUACAUUGGGCUUCAGCACCUCACCUCUCUUCACAAAAUGAAGAUCGGGAGUUGUCCUAAACUUGAAUCGUUGCAGGGGCUGCCUUCCUCCCUUGAAUUCCUUCAGUUAUGGGAUCAGCAAGACCGGGACUAUAAGGAACUUCGGCACCUCACCUCUCUUCGCAAAAUGAAUAUAAGAAGGAGCCUUAAGCUUGAGUACCUUCAAGAAGGCACACUUCCCUCCUCCCUUAAAGACCUUGAAAUCCAGGAUUUGGAAGAUCUGGAUUAUAAGGGGUUUCGGCACCUCAGCUCUCUUCGUAAAUUACAUAUCUGUAAUUCUCCUAAGCUCGAGUUCGUGCCAGGAGAGGAGCUGCCCUCCUCCCUUGUAUCUCUUAAAAUAUCAGGUCUGAUAAAUCUGAAAUCUGUAAUGAGGCUUCAGCAC
Molecule: long non-coding RNA, 32948 nt
Filed under: Populus trichocarpa (black cottonwood)
Lineage: Eukaryota; Viridiplantae; Streptophyta; Magnoliopsida; Malpighiales; Salicaceae
Description: long non-coding RNA (PTRI_LNC003739)
Source: RNAcentral